Molecule: ribosomal RNA, 253 nt
Filed under: uncultured bacterium
Lineage: Bacteria
Description: partial 16S ribosomal RNA
Rfam family: Bacterial small subunit ribosomal RNA
Source: RNAcentral
UACAGAGGGUGCAAGCGUUAAUCGGAAUUACUGGGCGUAAAGGGCGCGUAGGCGGUGAGAUAAGUGAGAUGUGAAAUCCCUGGGCUUAACCUAGGAACUGCAUCUUAUACUGUUUUGCUAGAGUACUGUAGAGGGUAGUGGAAUUUCCGGUGUAGCGGUGAAAUGCGUAGAGAUCGGAAGGAACACCAGUGGCGAAGGCGGCUACCUGGACAGAUACUGACGCUGAGGCGCGAAAGCGUGGGGAGCAAACAGG